GGCGGACGGGUGAGUAACACGUGGGUAACCUGCCUGUAAGACUGGGAUAACUCCGGGAAACCGGGGCUAAUACCGGAUGCUUAAUUGAACCGCAUGGUUCAAUUAUAAAAGGUGGCUUUUAGCUACCACUUACAGAUGGACCCGCGGCGCAUUAGCUAGUUGGUGAGGUAACGGCUCACCAAGGCAACGAUGCGUAGCCGACCUGAGAGGGUGAUCGGCCACACUGGGACUGAGACACGGCCCAGACUCCUACGGGAGGCAGCAGUAGGGAAUCUUCCGCAAUGGACGAAAGUCUGACGGAGCAACGCCGCGUGAGUGAUGAAGGUUUUCGGAUCGUAAAACUCUGUUGUUAGGGAAGAACAAGUACCGUUCGAAUAGGGCGGUACCUUGACGGUACCUAACCAGAAAGCCACGGCUAACUACGUGCCAGCAGCCGCGGUAAUACGUAGGUGGCAAGCGUUGUCCGGAAUUAUUGGGCGUAAAGCGCGCGCAGGCGGUUUCUUAAGUCUGAUGUGAAAGCCCCCGGCUCAACCGGGGAGGGUCAUUGGAAACUGGGGAACUUGAGUGCAGAAGAGGAGAGUGGAAUUCCACGUGUAGCGGUGAAAUGCGUAGAGAUGUGGAGGAACACCAGUGGCGAAGGCGACUCUCUGGUCUGUAACUGACGCUGAGGCGCGAAAGCGUGGGGAGCGAACAGGAUUAGAUACCCUGGUAGUCCACGCCGUAAACGAUGAGUGCUAAGUGUUAGAGGGUUUCCGCCCUUUAGUGCUGCAGCAAACGCAUUAAGCACUCCGCCUGGGGAGUA
This 802-nucleotide ribosomal RNA is filed under the name Bacillus licheniformis. Its description in RNAcentral is "bacterial SSU rRNA". It matches the Rfam family "Bacterial small subunit ribosomal RNA", at positions 97 to 882 of the family's 1533-position model. The record is from RNAcentral. Lineage: Bacteria; Bacillati; Bacillota; Bacilli; Caryophanales; Bacillaceae.